CCGAUGGAUGAUGAAGAAAUUGUCGCGUUCAUCCUGGCGGGUCUUGAUGAGGAGUAUGACCCGGUUGUCUCGGUGAUCACCGGGCGCACCGAAGCCGUGACCAUCACCGACGCGUACAUGCAGCUGCUCAGCUUUGAGG
Molecule: small nucleolar RNA, 139 nt
Filed under: Leersia perrieri
Lineage: Eukaryota; Viridiplantae; Streptophyta; Magnoliopsida; Poales; Poaceae
Description: snoRNA snoZ247
Rfam family: Small nucleolar RNA Z247
About the family: Z247 is a member of the C/D class of snoRNA which contain the C (UGAUGA) and D (CUGA) box motifs.
Source: Rfam by way of RNAcentral